Anas platyrhynchos (mallard) is the source of this 3019-nucleotide long non-coding RNA. RefSeq lists it as uncharacterized. The record is from RefSeq and is a predicted model, not a curated record. Lineage: Eukaryota; Metazoa; Chordata; Aves; Anseriformes; Anatidae.
AUGUUGGACAGCAUCUUGAGAAAGUGAACAUAUGAAGAUCAACAGCCUUAUGCCUUUACUAGAUGCUCAGAAGAUAUUCUCAGUCUUCUCAAGAGCAACAGCAUAUGGUAUAAAAGAGCAGUUCCAGAAUGGCUCGAGAGUCACUGAAACCAAGCGAGGUAUCAGUAUCCUAAGACCUGCAACAUAUUUAAACAGAAGUUAACAUAACUGUUCACUGAAUGGAGCUACCUGAAAAUUCACAACUGCCAGAGAACUUCGUGCUGUCAGAGGAAAAGGACAGACAUUUCAACAGUCCAUUUCUGGCUCUUGGUCUCACCUUUGGGUAAGUGAGUAUUUUAGUGCGUCAUGGUACAGAAGACACAUGGGACAGAAGACAAGACAGAAGACAAAUAAUCCUGUUCAACCUACAAAAGGCUCUCACAGUAGCAUUCAAAAAGAAAAGGAGGAUGUUUUGAACUUCUACUGGAAGACUGACAUCACACUUAAAGAUGAUAUGAGGAGUGAUAUCGGGUCUGUACAUUGCUAACACGUUAUUUAUACAUGCUAUAUGUUAACUUGCCAAACUGGAGAGUUUGUCACGUGGAGAACCAGGCAGUGCAGAAUGGGUUGACACAGUCUCAGAAGAUACAGGUCAUGAGAGCAACAAUUUGUUUUGACAGCAGUUGUGUUUCUACUACCAGAAAUGCUCUCUGCUUUUCUUAAAUACUUCUGACAUACUGCAUGGCAUUUAUUUUUCUGCCAAAUUAAUUAUGCAGCUUCCCUUUUCACCCUGCCAUCAGUAGCAUCAUUUUAUCCAGGGGUGAGCUGGAGCCUGAAGCUGGCCCGAGUGGGCUGGCUGGGCCCAGGCGAGCUGUGCCAGAACAUCAGGCUGUUUCUGUGUGUCAUUCCCCAAGCCAGGGCAGUUCCUGCUCCCCACCACAGAUCUGAGCUGUGUUUUCUGUGCUGUGUGGCACUCAAAUUAGACUUACCUGGCAGAUCUGCUUAUGGUAAGAUGGUAGGACAGACCUCUUUGUAUCUUACACAGAAUGGUUUAGGUCAGAAGGGACCUCUGGAGGCCAUGUAGUCCAGCCCCCUCUCAAGUAGCAGGGAAAGAACAUUUAAUUCUUCAUCGCAGAGUGCCAUGAAAGUCAUAGGUGAGCUUUGUUUGGUGUCCAGUGUGUUCUCUCUAGAAGUAUGAAGGCAGACUUUGAAAGCCAUGGAAGCAGAAUGCUGCAUGCCAAGUUAUCUGUAUUCUUUUUAAGUUUUUAAUAGUGUUUUGUACUCAUAUAUGUUGAUCCUACUUGGAUUAGCUGUAGGUAAACUACUCUAAAAUCCAUACUUGCAUGGAGACCCGACUGUGAUUCUAUUUGUGUGAUGAUAACCACAGCUAAUGGCAUUUUUCUAAUGAGUUUAUGAAAUUCUGGGGAGACUUUUAUUAUUUUGUUCUUGGAUUUUUUUUCUGCAUAUCUUUCCCUGAAGUAUAGUUUAGCUUUUUGUUAGUCUGUCAAAUAGACAUUCUCACAUUCUCAAGAGAAGAUUGGGUGUUUUUUUUUUUUUCCUGAGGCCAGCUGUUUUCUAAGAAGAAGAAAAAAGAGUUUUUUUUUGUUUUUUUUUGUUUUUUUAAUCGAUUUAAACAUGAGUUUGGGAGGAAUUUGGAUCUUUCUUUCUUUUGUAACUGUAGAAAACUUCUGUUGAGUGCAUGUCCCCAUGAUUUUCUUCAACAGCAUGUACUGUGGUAUUACAGAAUACACAAGAAUAUAAUAGAGUUAGACCUGAAUGUAGCAAUAUUUUGUUGUCAGUUAUGUUAGCUCAGAAAUGCCUCUAACAUUGUUAAAAGUAAUCCAAGAUGGAAUCUCUUACUGCCUGUUAGUUGUCUCUUGAUGAUGAUUAUUAUUUGAUAUUUGUUUCUUCAUGGAGGUAGAUAUUCAAGAAAAGAGUGAUGUUCCCAUCAAAACUAUUUUCCUGUAUACUAAAUUAAAACCUGAACAAAAAGAAAUGGUUUUGCCAGAUACGAUAAAGUUUUUAUUAUGAAUGUCUCUUUAACAUAUUUUAGAUACUUAGAAUGCUUUCAAAAUUAUUCGUAACCUUGCAAAGCCAUUUCUUGAGACAAAUAGAUAGGUUGGUUUGUUUGAACAUCCAGCAGAGAAACUGGAUUGCUGAAUUACCACCAGUUAUUAUUCAAGUGGGUUUUUUCUCUAAAGGCUGCUGCAGCCAGGGACAUUCAUCGGCGUAGCCCAGUGGAGACUUCACUUCCUACACACAGGUUUGGGAAAAGCCCAUUUGUUUCUGAACAAUUACAAAUUCAAAAUGUACAGGGCUUUAAUAUGCUAAUAUUGUCACAAUGAUUUUUUUUUUUAAAUUUAUGAAAGAAACAGAUUGAAGGAAAUCUUGUGCUUUAUUAUCAAGAUCUGCUGGAGGUAGAAUCUAUCAGUCUUACCUUUGUCUUGAAGUCCAGUAAUUCUGCAUUCCAGUGAUUAAUUUGCUAGGAAGUUCCAUCAUUCAGCACCCUUGAAUUGCAUCACUGAGUUUUUAUGAAACAUUUUUAUUACUGACUGAAAUAUUUGGAAAAAAAAUGGUUUAACGACUCUUGAGGCACAUAUUCUGAGUGAAAAAUAAAUAAAUAAAAUAGCCCAACUUCUUUCAACAUGCAGAUCUGAAACACUGUUAAAGAAUCAAAGCCCUCCCUAUCCUUUACGCUUUGCAAUCUGUGCUGGUGUUCUUUUAAGGUGAGAUGUUCUCAGAUAUUGAUGCUAUUGAGAGCUUUUCUAUUGAGGCUGAAGUUUUGUAUUAAUUACAAUAGUAAGUGGCAUUUAGAAACAUGAAAUGAAAUAGCUUGAAAACUUCUAAAACUACUCCAACAUUGCUUUUGAAUUUCAUUUUAAAAUAUCAGUCUUGGAUAUUUGUUAAUAGAAGAUAAAUAAGAAAUUAUAGAAAUAAGAAAUAAUAAAAGCAAUAUAUAUUCAGGGAGAAUUUCUGUAUAGAAGAAACAUAGUUUGCUGCAUGGAUGUAUAAUUAACAGAGAAUUAAAUUUACAUCUAUG